RNAcentral lists this ribosomal RNA (508 nucleotides) under uncultured bacterium. Its description in RNAcentral is "partial 16S ribosomal RNA". It matches the Rfam family "Bacterial small subunit ribosomal RNA", at positions 28 to 507 of the family's 1533-position model. The record is from RNAcentral.
GACGAACGCUGGCGGCGUGCUUAACACAUGCAAGUCGAACGGGCCUUGUCCCCUUUUUUUUUGGGGGUGGGGUUAGUGGCGAACGGGUGAGUAACACGUGAGUAACCUGCCCCUCACUUCUGGAUAACCGCUUGAAAGGGUGGCUAAUACGGGGUGUUCUGGCCUGCUCGCAUGGGUGGGUUUGGAAAGAUUCGACCGGUUUUGGUUGUUUUGGUGGGGGAUGGGCUCGCGGCCUAUCAGCUUGUUGGUGGGGUGAUGGCCUGCCAAGGCUUUGACGGGUAGCCGGCCUGAGAGGGUGGGCGGUCACACUGGGACUGAGACACGGCCCAGACUCCGACGGGAGGCAGAAGUGGGGAAUAUUGCACAAUGGGCGCAAGCCUGAUGCAGCGACGCCGCGUGAGGGAUGGAGGCCUUCGGGUUGUGAACCUCUUUCGCCAGUGAAGAAGGUCCUGCUCUUUGUGGUGGGGUUGACGGUAGCUGGGUUAAUGAAGCGCCGGCUAACUACGUG